Long non-coding RNA from Mauremys mutica (yellowpond turtle), 1033 nucleotides. RefSeq lists it as uncharacterized. NCBI's taxonomy places the organism in Eukaryota, Metazoa, Chordata, Testudines, Geoemydidae. The record is from RefSeq and is a predicted model, not a curated record. The transcript is spliced from 4 exons.
CACUCUAACAAACACAGAUAGCACUGCUGAAAUACUGCUACUAACUGAUGCACAACAGUGAGCAGGGAGGAAAGGAAAUUCUAGCCAAAGACAGCAGGUAUUCAGGGUAACAUGCAGCUUUUAGGAGUCAAUUCGGAAGAGGAGAUGUGCUCAUAAAGUUGCCAAACUAAAGUGAACUGAAGGUCUCCCGUGAAAAUGAGCAGGAACAUUCAGUUUCUAGGAAGCACAAACAUGCAUUCAUGAUUGGGUGAAUGAAAUCUGGAGCCUAAUGGUGAAAUUCCAGUCUCACUGUGAUGUCACUGCAUUGUGGAGAGAGAAGGCAAUAUCUUUGAGAAAUGUCCAUAAAACCGAAGGUCAUGACAUACAGCAGAUUCUACCAACAGUCCUGAUUAAUGGAGUGAAGCUUGAGCAGAGAUGCUGACAGGCUGGCUCUGCCCUUCUUUAGAUGGAUGGAGAAGAGAGUGGGAGAAGUAACAUCCUAAUAUGAAAGUACGUAUGAGUUCUGUGAGGAGUCAGGUCACUGGAUCUGGCAGUAGGAUCUUCAGAACAUAUGCAUAUGGUGCCAUGCCAAGACUCAGGUGUGAGUGUGCCACCAGUUGUCAUUGCCUAGAUACCAGGUGGUUGGCACUAUAAAAACACCUGUACAGACAGAAUCAUCAGACCAAGGACUUGGGGUGGGUAAGGAGACUAAAUUUGCUUUUAGCAGUGUGUGGAGUUCACCAGGUAAAUUAUUUAGCAUGUGAUUACUAUUUAGCUUGGCCUGACUAGAAAAGAAACAAAGAUGACACCAUUAGGCUUAUUGUUGUGAACAAGGCUUAAAUUCUCAAGAGUAUUUCUUGGAGCUUCCCACUCCUCCUGCCCCCACAUGUGAUAAAAACUCCAAGGGGUUGAAAAUAUUUACUGGACUCUGCUCCGAACAGCUCCAGCUGAAUUUAAGCCCUGGUUGUGAACUAUAAGUAUGGUAUGAACUGUUUACUUGUUAUUAACCUAACUGACCAACAGAUGUCACUGUUCCCCUCCAAAAAUAUACAGA